This is a long non-coding RNA of Danaus plexippus (monarch butterfly), 538 nucleotides long. RefSeq lists it as uncharacterized. The transcript is spliced from 2 exons. The record is from RefSeq and is a predicted model, not a curated record. NCBI's taxonomy places the organism in Eukaryota, Metazoa, Arthropoda, Insecta, Lepidoptera, Nymphalidae.
CAUUACUGUUAAACAGUAUCACUAUACACUGAUUACUUAAUAAUUACUAUCUUUGGUGUCUCAUGUAGUUCAGCCGCCAAGUUUCAAAUAUCUUUUUUUUUUAUGUAAACAACUGCAUCAUUAAAUGUCGUGUCAAUUCCUUGUGCGGGACUGAGGACCAAUUCGCCGUCGGGUGCGCCCGCGAAGGACACAGUACGGGGUGGAGGCCGUUUGCCAAUUACUGGGCAGGCGGAUUGCUUUGCGUGGCUUGACGUAGCCGCUGGUGGGUUCGCCUGGACUUGAACUGGCGGUGCGACCGGCGAUGACGGCUGCGGUUUUGGCUGUGAGCCCGCCUGGGAAAGAUAUUACGGCAGUCUGGAAUCUUAAGAUCUAAUUUUUUUGGAGGAACCCAUCAAGGACCAAUCGUACUUUCUAUAUCGUUAAUAUAAUGUAUGCGUGAUUAAAUAUUUGGUUCAUUUUAUAUUAAAUUUGAAUUAUCAGGGUGAUUGUACUGGUCAUUUAAAAAAAAUCUAAAAUAAUAAAAUUGCUUUGCUAAUCA